GGGGAAUUUUGGACAAUGGGCGCAAGCCUGAUCCAGCAAUGCCGCGUGAGUGAAGAAGGCCUUCGGGUUGUAAAGCUCUUUUGUCAGGGAAGAAACGGUCCGGGCUAAUAUCCUGGGCUAAUGACGGUACCGGCGGAAUAAGCACCGGCUAACUACGUGCCAGCAGCCGCGGUAAGACGUAGGGUGCGAGCGUUAAUCGGAAUUACUGGGCGUAAAGCGUGCGCAGGCGGUUCGUCGUGUCCGAUGUGAAAGCCCCGGGCUCAACCUGGGAAUGGCAUUGGAAACUGGCGGACUCGAGUGUGGCAGAGGGGGGUGGAAUUCCGCGUGUAGCAGUGAAAUGCGUAGAGAUGCGGAGGAACACCGAUGGCGAAGGCAGCCCCCUGGGCUAACACUGACGCUCAGGCACGAAAGCGUGGGGAGCAAAC
This 425-nucleotide ribosomal RNA is filed under the name uncultured bacterium. RNAcentral describes it as "bacterial SSU rRNA". It matches the Rfam family "Bacterial small subunit ribosomal RNA", at positions 356 to 773 of the family's 1533-position model. The record is from RNAcentral.